CCUACGGGUGGCUGCAGUGGGGAAUAUUGGACAAUGGGGGCAACCCUGAUCCAGCCAUGCCGCGUGUGUGAAGAAGGCCCUCGGGUUGUAAAGCACUUUCAGUGAGGAAGAACGCCUGGUGGUUAAUACCCAUCAGGAAAGACAUCACUCACAGAAGAAGCACCGGCUAACUCCGUGCCAGCAGCCGCGGUAAUACGGAGGGUGCGAGCGUUAAUCGGAAUUACUGGGCGUAAAGCGCGCGUAGGUGGCAUGAUAAGCCGGUUGUGAAAGCCCCGGGCUCAACCUGGGAACGGCAUCCGGAACUGUCAAGCUAGAGUGCAGGAGAGGAAGGUAGAAUUCGCGGUGUAGCGGUAAAAUGCGUAGAGAUCGGGAGGAAUACCAGUGGCGAAGGCGGCCUUCUGGCCUGAAACUGACACGGAGGUGCGAAAGCGUGGGUAGCAAACAGGAUUAGAUACCCCGGUAGUC
RNAcentral lists this ribosomal RNA (465 nucleotides) under Vreelandella stevensii. Its description in RNAcentral is "partial 16S ribosomal RNA". It matches the Rfam family "Bacterial small subunit ribosomal RNA", at positions 338 to 795 of the family's 1533-position model. The record is from RNAcentral. Lineage: Bacteria; Pseudomonadati; Pseudomonadota; Gammaproteobacteria; Oceanospirillales; Halomonadaceae.